This 64-nucleotide transfer RNA is filed under the name Nephotettix cincticeps (green rice leafhopper). RNAcentral's name for it is "tRNA-Ser". The record is from RNAcentral. Lineage: Eukaryota; Metazoa; Arthropoda; Insecta; Hemiptera; Cicadellidae.
AGCUAUUUAGCUUAUAUAAAGCAUUUACUUUGAAAGUAAAAGAAAGAUAUAGAUUUAUUAGCUU